Long non-coding RNA from Tympanuchus pallidicinctus (lesser prairie-chicken), 547 nucleotides. RefSeq lists it as uncharacterized. NCBI's taxonomy places the organism in Eukaryota, Metazoa, Chordata, Aves, Galliformes, Phasianidae. The transcript is spliced from 3 exons. The record is from RefSeq and is a predicted model, not a curated record.
UAGCUAACAAUUAAUUGUGGUGGAUUUCAGCUGUGGCCCCCAGUAACAGGGCUGACCAUUCAGGUGCAGACAGGAGCAAGGCACUCUGGGGCUCCUACCCCCUCCCAGAGGCUCAGGAGGGCUCAUUAAGUUGGUGAUUGCUGCCGAGGGAGUUGGACGUUGUUCUGCCAUGGGUUUGGUUUUGUUGGAGCUCUGCUGCAGUGAAAUUUCCUGUUGCACACGGUGUGAUCCUCCUGGUCUGCUCUGAGCUCUCUGUGUUCUUGUGAAGGGUUCAGAGCCUUCAGCCUCUUUGAGGAAAAGAAACAACAGCCAUGGAGGAGAUGGGAGCUUUGCUGCUGCUCCAGUCCUCAUGUAAUGCUCAGAGAACAACCUCAGAGAUCCCUGAGAAGGCUGAGCUCUGAUAUCUUCCGUCUUCUGCUGCCACACCAGAAAUGUGAGCAUCUAACUGUAAAGUUAAUGGAGGAAGAUCCUCACCUGCUCCAUCUCGUAUGACUGAGCUGAAUUUGGAGCUGAAGAGGACGUCUGUGUGGUUCAAGAUGAAUUCCAC